AUGCCGCCCGCGGCGCUGCCCAGCUUUGCUCUCCUCCGCGUCGCCACCACCAUUGCCAUGCUGCUGGUGCAGCAAGCUCGUUUGCUCCCAGUGGUGGCCAUGGCGCGGACCAAACUGACCGCGGGAGACACCCUGACGGUGCCGGACUACAUCACCAGCCCGUCCGGCAGCUUCGCCUUUGGCUUCCGCGCCCACGACUCUGACCCGACUAAGUUCCUCCUCGCCACGUGGUUCCGGUUAGGUUCCAUGCCGCCGCAGGCGCAGUCCGUGGUGUGGUUCGCGAAAGAGUCCGCCAUGGGCACCACGCCUAACGCCACGGCACGGUCCGUCCUCAGCAUCCCCGCAGACGGCCAGCUCAAGCUCACCGACGGCAGCAUAGAGCUUUGGAGGGCCCCGACCCCCAGCAUGAAGCGUGGGUCCGUCCUCGUGCUAACAGACUCCGGCAACGUUCAGCUCCUCGGGGACGGCGACAACGUGCUCUGGGAGAGCUUUGGGUUCCCAACGGAUACCCUCCUUCCGGGCCAAUCUUUGGAGGGGUUUCUCUUCUCCAAGCGCGCGGACACGGAGUUCACCACGGGUCGGUUCAGCUUGGCAGCCCAGAGCGACGGCAACGUCGUCCUCUGCGUCGACCUCUUCACCGGUGACAUAUUGCAAAACGCCUACUGGGCCACAGCCACCAACGGCCCCUACGGCAACACCACCAUCACCUUCGAUGAGUAUGGCCACCUAAGCUACACUCUCUAUGACGGCAGCAUCAACAACUUGAUUUCGCCUCUCGCCACUGGCAGGAACUAUUUCCGGUUCGCCAGGAUGGACCCCGACGGCAUCGUCCGUGCCUACGCCCGUCCCAAACAUGGCGGCGGUGGUGGCCAGAACACGACUUGGACCGUGUCGGGCACGCUCCCCAGUGUCGGGGGCUGCAAGUUGAAGACGACCAGGAUGCAAGGCAUGUGCGGCCCUGGGUCAUACUGCGUGGAGACCAAAGAGCGGCUCAACUGCGUGUGCCCGAGUGGGUACACUUACAUCGAUGCAGAGCAUACUGAGAGUGGCUGCACACCGGGGUUCGAGCCACAGAGGUGCGGCGAGGAGAACAUCUCUGACAAGUUCUCACUCGUAGAGCUGCCAAACACCAUCUGGGAGCUCUCAAUAUACUACAAGAAGUUUCCAUCGGUCUCAGAGGAGCAGUGCUACGACUACUGCCUCAAUGAUUGCUUUUGCGCAGCAGCGCUGAUGAUCAACGGAUCAGACUGUGUCGAGUUGGGGGCACUCGUGUACGGGCGGCAGGGAAAUGAUGUUACAACGAAAGCACUGAUCAAGGUGAGGAAGGGGAAUAAUACUCCUUAUAUGGAGACACCGCCAUCAAAAACGACGACAAUACUUGUAGGUCCAUAUAAGAUCGUCACCAUUUGCUUGGCCUUAAUCUUACUGAUCACCCUCGGUGGCAGCCUCAUGGCAUUGUAUUACCUCACCAGGAACAGAGAUAGCCAACGGUUGUUGAGCUCGAGCGUGAGAUCGUUCAGUUGCAAGGAGCUUUACGAAGCUACCAAUGGCUUCAAGAAACUGCUGGGAGCUUUGGGGAGGUCUACAAAGGAACGAUAA
Molecule: ribosomal RNA, 1599 nt
Filed under: Triticum aestivum (bread wheat)
Lineage: Eukaryota; Viridiplantae; Streptophyta; Magnoliopsida; Poales; Poaceae
Description: partial small subunit ribosomal RNA
Source: RNAcentral